GAGCGCCAGAUGGGUCUCCGGAGAUU
RNAcentral lists this small RNA (26 nucleotides) under Bombyx mori (domestic silkworm). Its description in RNAcentral is "ovarian small RNA-2703". The record is from RNAcentral. Lineage: Eukaryota; Metazoa; Arthropoda; Insecta; Lepidoptera; Bombycidae.